This 485-nucleotide ribosomal RNA is filed under the name uncultured Lactobacillus sp. RNAcentral describes it as "partial 16S ribosomal RNA". Lineage: Bacteria; Bacillati; Bacillota; Bacilli; Lactobacillales; Lactobacillaceae. The record is from RNAcentral.
CACGUAGUUAGCCGUGACUUUCUAGGUAAUUACCGUCAAAUAAAGGCCAGUUACUACCUCUAUCUUUCUUCACUACCAACAGAGCUUUACGAGCCGAAACCCUUCUUCACUCACGCGGCGUUGCUCCAUCAGACUUGCGUCCAUUGUGGAAGAUUCCCUACUGCUGCCUCCCGUAGGAGUUUGGGCCGUGUCUCAGUCCCAAUGUGGCCGAUCAGUCUCUCAACUCGGCUAUGCAUCAUUGCCUUGGUAAGCCGUUACCUUACCAACUAGCUAAUGCACCGCAGGUCCAUCCAAGAGUGAUAGCAGAACCAUCUUUUAAACUCUAGACAUGCGUCUAGUGUUGUUAUCCGGUAUUAGCAUCUGUUUCCAGGUGUUAUCCCAGUCUCUUGGGCAGGUUACCCACGUGUUACUCACCCGUCCGCCGCUAGCUUGUAUCUAGUUUCAUUUAGUGCAAGCACUAAAAUCAUCUAGGCAAGCUCGCUCGA